RNAcentral lists this ribosomal RNA (492 nucleotides) under uncultured bacterium. RNAcentral describes it as "partial 16S ribosomal RNA". It matches the Rfam family "Bacterial small subunit ribosomal RNA", at positions 29 to 507 of the family's 1533-position model. The record is from RNAcentral.
AGUGAACGCUGGCGGUAGGCCUAACACAUGCAAGUCGAACGGCAGCACAGUAAGAGCUUGCUCUUACGGGUGGCGAGUGGCGGACGGGUGAGGAAUACAUCGGAAUCUACUUUUUCGUGGGGGAUAACGUAGGGAAACUUACGCUAAUACCGCAUACGACCUACGUGUGAAAGCAGGGGAUCUUCGGACCUUGCGCGAUUGAAUGAGCCGAUGUCGGAUUAGCUAGUUGGCGGGGUAAAGGCCCACCAAGGCGACGAUCCGUAGCUGGUCUGAGAGGAUGAUCAGCCACACUGGAAAUGAGACACGGUCCAGACUCCUACGGGAGGCAGCAGUGGGGAAUAUUGGACAAUGGGCGCAAGUCUGAUCCAGCCAUACCGCGUGGGUGAAGCAGGCCUUCGGGUUGUAAAGCCCUUUUGUUGGGAAAGAAAAGCAGCAGGUUAAUACCCCGCUGUUCUGACGGUACCCAAAGAAUAAGCACCGGCUAACUUCGUG